UACAUAGGGGCAAGCGUUAUCCGGAAUUAUUGGGCGUAAAGGGUGCGUAGGCGGUCUGUUAAGUCUAAGGUGUAAGUGCAAGGCUCAACCUUGUGAUGCUUUAGAAACUGGUGGACUAGAGAUAGAUAGAGGCAAGUGGAAUUCCAUGUGUAGCGGUAAAAUGCGUAAAUAUAUGGAGGAACACCAAGUGGCGAAGGCGGCUUGCUGGGUCUAUACUGACGCUGAGGCACGAAAGCGUGGGGAGCAAACAGG
Molecule: ribosomal RNA, 252 nt
Filed under: uncultured bacterium
Lineage: Bacteria
Description: partial 16S ribosomal RNA
Rfam family: Bacterial small subunit ribosomal RNA
Source: RNAcentral